GUGGGGAAUUUUGGACAAUGGGGGCAACCCUGAUCCAGCAAUGCCGCGUGCAGGAAGAAGGCCUUCGGGUUGUAAACUGCUUUUGUACGGAACGAAACGGUCUGGGUUAAUACCCUGGGCUAAUGACGGUACCGUAAGAAUAAGCACCGGCUAACUACGUGCCAGCAGCCGCGGUAAUACGUAGGGUGCGAGCGUUAAUCGGAAUUACUGGGCGUAAAGCGUGCGCAGGCGGUUUUGUAAGACAGGCGUGAAAUCCCCGGGCUCAACCUGGGAAGGGCGCUUGUGACUGCAAAGCUGGAGUGCGGCAGAGGGGGAUGGAAUUCCGCGUGUAGCAGUGAAAUGCGUAGAUAUGCGGAGGAACACCGAUGGCGAAGGCAAUCCCCUGGGCCUGCACUGACGCUCAUGCACGAAAGCGUGGGGAGCAAACAGGAUUAGAUACCCGUGUAGUCC
This 450-nucleotide ribosomal RNA is filed under the name uncultured bacterium. RNAcentral's name for it is "partial 16S ribosomal RNA". It matches the Rfam family "Bacterial small subunit ribosomal RNA", at positions 354 to 796 of the family's 1533-position model. The record is from RNAcentral.